AAUGUGGUCCGGGAAACGGGCAGCACUUGUAAGGGCGAGGAAGCGCAAGAGCAGUGCGCACGCAGUGUAUUUGGCAGUAGGAAGCCUGGUUCCUUUCUACCCAUUUGUAAGUAAAAAUGCGCUCCUGCUUUAAAUAUUCUAGUCAGCCGUUCCAGAGAGGGGUGUCCCGAGGCAGCAGCCAGUGGGACCACGUGUCCCUGAGCACAGUGCGCCCCGGGGCCCUCCCACUCAGGACGUGUGCAGACGGACAGUGACCCUGCCGGCAUAUCAGCCCCAGGCUGCUCGGGGCUAACCGAGUGUGUGGGGGGUUGCGGGGUACCCCACUGCUGCCCUGUCUCUUCAGGCGAUGCGUCCAAGGAAGACAUCGACACGGCCAUGAAGCUGGGGGCUGGGUACCCCAUGGGCCCGUUCGAGCUGGUUGAUUACGUCGGGCUGGACACCACGAAGUUCAUCCUGGACGGGUGGCAUGAGAUGGACAUGCAGAACCCCUUGUUUCAGCCCAGCCCCUCCCUCAACAAGCUGGUGGCAGAGAAGAAGCUCGGGAAGAAGACUGGAGAAGGCUUCUACAAGUACAAGUGACGGCCCCUGGCUGGGCAGGACCCUCGGGAGCGGGGUCAGCUGGCGCCCCGAGGGCCGCAGGUGUGUUCUUCAGCCGGGCGCCCCUUCGGUGGCGCAGUCUGUUCGCAGAGCAUCCUGAGUGAGAGCCAGCUGACGCCGUUUGUACGCCAGUUCCAGGGGGACUGGUUCCGCGGUUGAGAGCUAACUGCCUCUUUUAGUCUGCCCAGAUCCGUGUAUUUUCUAAGAAGCUUUACGCCCUCGGUGCCUUGGGGCAAGCACUUCUGCUGAGCCUCGUCAGUUCUGCAGUUGCCUAAAAUCGUCCCCGCACAGCGGGGCGGUUCCUCUGAGGUCGGAGUGUGAGCACGUCGCCCGUUCCCACCUCACAGACGAGCCACUGGCCAUCGCACGUCCGAGGCACUGCCGAGCCCUGUCUGGGGGACCCCUGUCUGGGGGACCCCUGCGCUCCCGCAGCCCCGGCCUGUCCCAGUGUCCGGCUAUGGCCCGGGACGCCGUCUUUGUUCCCCUCAGCCUGGAGAGGCCGCUGCAGGCCCGGGAGUCUCAGCACGCGUCUGCAGGCAGAGGUCUGCCAGGGCCGUUCAGACCCACAAGCCCUCCUGGUUACCGUCUCUCUUGUUUUUCUAAUGGGAAAUCAGAUAACUGCCUAUAAGAUUGAUUUUAAUAAAAUGCAGUAUUUUAAUCUGUGGACAUUUGACUUGAAAUAAAAGUGUAAUUUAAAUCGUA
Long non-coding RNA from Tupaia belangeri chinensis (Chinese tree shrew), 1299 nucleotides. RefSeq lists it as uncharacterized. The transcript has 2 exons. Lineage: Eukaryota; Metazoa; Chordata; Mammalia; Scandentia; Tupaiidae. The record is from RefSeq and is a predicted model, not a curated record.